AAUGAACGCUGGCGGCAGGCCUAACACAUGCAAGUCGAGCGGAGCGGCGGACGGGUGCGUAAUGCCUAGGAAUCUACCUGGUAGUGGGGGAUAACGUCCGGAAACGGGCGCUAAUACCGCAUACUUUCAGAUGAGCCUCGGUCGGAUUAGCUAGUAGGUAAGGUAAUGGCUUACCUGGGCGACGAUCCCUAGCUGCUCUGCGAGGAUGAUCAGCCACACUGGGACUGAGACACGGCCCAGACUCCUACGGGAGGCAGCAGUGGGGAAUAUGGCACAAUGGGCGAAAGCCUGAUGCAGCCAUGCCGCGUGUAUGAAGAAGGCCCUAGGGUUGUAAAGUACUUGCAGGCGGGAGGCGUUACCGACAGAAGAAGCACCGGCUAACUCCGUGCCAGCAGCCGCGGUAAUUC
RNAcentral lists this ribosomal RNA (407 nucleotides) under uncultured bacterium. RNAcentral's name for it is "partial 16S ribosomal RNA". It matches the Rfam family "Bacterial small subunit ribosomal RNA", at positions 29 to 526 of the family's 1533-position model. The record is from RNAcentral.